GUCCAGACUCCUACGGGAGGCAGCAGUGGGGGAUAUUGCACAAUGGGGGGAACCCUGAUGCAGCGACGCCGCGUGGGUGAAGGAGCACCUCGGUGCGUAAAGCCCUAUCGGCAGGGAAGAAAAGCGAACAGGUUCGCCUGGACGGUACCUGACUAAGAAGCCCCGGCUAACUCCGGGCCAGCAGCCGCGGUAAUACGUAGGGGGCAAGCGUUAUCCGGAUUCCCUGGGUGUAAAGGGAGCGUAGACGGCGACGCAAGUCUGGAGUGAAAGCCCGGGGCCCAACCCCGGGACUGCUCUGGAAACUGCGUCGCUGGAGUACGGGAGGGGCAGGCGGAAUUCCUGGUGUAGCGGUGAAAUGCGUAGAUAUUAGGAGGAACACCAGUGGCGAAGGCGGCCUGCUGGGCUUUUACUGACGCUGAGGCUCGAAAGUGUGGGGAGCAAGCAGGAUUAGAUACCCGCGUAUUA
RNAcentral lists this ribosomal RNA (465 nucleotides) under uncultured bacterium. Its description in RNAcentral is "bacterial SSU rRNA". It matches the Rfam family "Bacterial small subunit ribosomal RNA", at positions 329 to 795 of the family's 1533-position model. The record is from RNAcentral.